This is a non-coding RNA of Caldisalinibacter kiritimatiensis, 65 nucleotides long. Lineage: Bacteria; Bacillati; Bacillota; Tissierellia; Tissierellales; Thermohalobacteraceae. The record is from Rfam.
UCCAUCGUGAGGUGGAAUCUGAAGGAAGUCGGCGGCAAAGCAUUGAACCGAGGUACACGAAUCAC